Non-coding RNA from Pangasianodon gigas (Mekong giant catfish), 72 nucleotides. NCBI's taxonomy places the organism in Eukaryota, Metazoa, Chordata, Actinopteri, Siluriformes, Pangasiidae. The record is from the annotation of a GenBank genome assembly.
AUUAUUGACUCAAGUCUUUCAUUUGAAGCUCAUCCAGAAAAUAUUACUAGGAUAGCCUUCUUUCAUCUCAGA